AGAAAAUGUUGAGGCAGGAUCUAUCUAGGUUGGCGGACUACACCUGGUUUUGUUAUUAUAGAGCUUUGUCUUCCACAAAUAUUUCUUCAGGUUCUUUAGCCCAAAGAGAUGGAUCACUCUCGUUUGUCGCAGGCAAAAGGAAUAUCUGACUCUCUGACUCCAUCACACUAGAGAUCUAUCAUCGGGAAAG
This is a long non-coding RNA of Malania oleifera, 190 nucleotides long. RefSeq lists it as uncharacterized. The record is from RefSeq and is a predicted model, not a curated record. The transcript has 3 exons. NCBI's taxonomy places the organism in Eukaryota, Viridiplantae, Streptophyta, Magnoliopsida, Santalales, Ximeniaceae.